AGUGAACGCUGGCGGUAGGCCUAACACAUGCAAGUCGAACGGCAGCACAGUAAGAGCUUGCUCUUACGGGUGGCGAGUGGCGGACGGGUGAGGAAUACAUCGGAAUCUACUUUUUCGUGGGGGAUAACGUAGGGAAACUUACGCUAAUACCGCAUACGACCUACGGGUGAAAGCAGGGGAUCUUCGGACCUUGCGCGAUUGAAUGAGCCGAUGUCGGAUUAGCUAGUUGGCGGGGUAAAGGCCCACCAAGGCGACGAUCCGUAGCUGGUCUGAGAGGAUGAUCAGCCACACUGGAACUGAGACACGGUCCAGACUCCUACGGGAGGCAGCAGUGGGGAAUAUUGGACAAUGGGCGCAAGCCUGAUCCAGCCAUACCGCGUGGGGGAAGAAGGCCUUCGGGUUGUAAAGCCCUUUUGUUGGGAAAGAAAAGCAGCAGGUUAAUACCCCGCUGUUCUGACGGUACCCAAAGAAUAAGCACCGGCUAACUUCG
RNAcentral lists this ribosomal RNA (490 nucleotides) under uncultured bacterium. RNAcentral describes it as "partial 16S ribosomal RNA". It matches the Rfam family "Bacterial small subunit ribosomal RNA", at positions 29 to 505 of the family's 1533-position model. The record is from RNAcentral.